UUAAAAAGCUCGUAGUUGAACCUUGGGCCUGGCUGGCCGGUCCGCCUCACCGCGUGCACUGGUCCGGCCGGGCCUUUCCCUCUGGGGAGCCCCAUGCCCUUCACUGGGUGUGGUGGGGAACCAGGACUUUUACUGUGAAAAAAUUAGAGUGUUCAAAGCAGGCCUAUGCUCGAAUACAUCAGCAUGGAAUAAUAGAAUAGGACGUGUGGUUCUAUUUUGUUGGUUUCUAGGACCGCCGUAAUGAUUAAUAGGGACAGUCGGGGG
RNAcentral lists this ribosomal RNA (264 nucleotides) under uncultured Ascomycota. Its description in RNAcentral is "partial 18S ribosomal RNA". It matches the Rfam family "Eukaryotic small subunit ribosomal RNA", at positions 619 to 888 of the family's 1831-position model. Lineage: Eukaryota; Fungi; Ascomycota. The record is from RNAcentral.